GAUCCUGGCUCAGGACGAACGCUGGCGGCGCGCCUAACACAUGCAGGUCGAACGAGCGAUGGAGAGCUUGCUUUCCAGAGCGAGUGGCGAACGGGUGAGUAACGCGUGAGGAACCUGCCUCAAAGAGGGGGACAACAGUUGGAAACGACUGCUAAUACCGCAUAAGCCCACGGCUCGGCAUCGAGCAGAGGGAAAAAGGAGUGGUCCGCUUUGAGAUGGCCUCGCGUCCGAUUAG
RNAcentral lists this ribosomal RNA (235 nucleotides) under uncultured bacterium. RNAcentral's name for it is "partial 16S ribosomal RNA". It matches the Rfam family "Bacterial small subunit ribosomal RNA", at positions 15 to 244 of the family's 1533-position model. The record is from RNAcentral.